UUCGGGGGUACUCGAGCGGCGAACGGGUGAGUAACACGUGAGUAAUCUGCCCUUGGCUUCGGGAUAGCCACCGGAAACGGUGAUUAAUACCGGAUACGACACAUCACUGCAUGGUGCGUGUGUGGAAAGUUUUUUCGGCCAGGGAUGUGCUCGCGGCCUAUCAGCUUGUUGGUGGGGUAAUGGCCUACCAAGGCUUCGACGGGUAGCCGGCCUGAGAGGGUGACCGGCCACACUGGGACUGAGACACGGCCCAGACUCCUACGGGAGGCAGCAGUGGGGAAUAUUGGACAAUGGGCGGAAGCCUGAUCCAGCAACGCCGCGUGAGGGAUGACGGCCUUCGGGUUGUAAACCUCUUUCAGCACAGACGAAGCGCAAGUGACGGUAUGUGCAGAAGAAGGACCGGCCAACUACGUGCCAGCAGCCGCGGUAAUACGUAGGGUCCGAGCGUUGUCCGGAAUUAUUGGGCGUAAAGGGCUCGUAGGCGGUUUGUCGCGUCGGGAGUGAAAACACCGGGCUUAACUCGGUGCUUGCUUUCGAUACGGGCAGACUAGAGGUAUUCAGGGGAGAACGGAAUUCCUGGUGUAGCGGUGAAAUGCGCAGAUAUCAGGAGGAACACCGGUGGCGAAG
This 627-nucleotide ribosomal RNA is filed under the name uncultured Actinomycetes bacterium. Its description in RNAcentral is "bacterial SSU rRNA". It matches the Rfam family "Bacterial small subunit ribosomal RNA", at positions 80 to 720 of the family's 1533-position model. The record is from RNAcentral. Lineage: Bacteria; Bacillati; Actinomycetota; Actinomycetes.